RNAcentral lists this transfer RNA (51 nucleotides) under Amblyomma americanum (Lone Star tick). RNAcentral describes it as "tRNA-Cys". The record is from RNAcentral. Lineage: Eukaryota; Metazoa; Arthropoda; Arachnida; Ixodida; Ixodidae.
AAUCUUAAAAUUUAAACUGCAAAUUUAAUAACGAAUUUAUUUCUAAGAUUU